CCUACGGGAGGCAGCAGUGGGGAAUAUUGCACAAUGGGGGGAACCCUGAUGCAGCAAUGCCGCGUGGGUGAAGAAGCACUCCGGUGCGUAAAGCCCUGUCAGCAGGGAAGAAAAUGACAGUACCUGGACAAGAAGCCCCGGCUAACUACGUGCCCGCAGCCGCGGUAAUACGUAGGUGGCAAGCGUUGUCCGGAUUUACUGGGGGGAAAGGGGGUGUAGCCGGGCUGACAAGUCAGAUGUGAAAUCCGUGGGCUCAACCCCCGAACUGCAUUUGAAACUGUUGGUCUUGAGUAUCGGAGAGGCAGGCGGAAUUCCUAGUGUAGCGGUGAAAUGCGUAGAUAUUAGGAGGAACACCAGUGGCGAAGGCGGCCUGCUGGACGACAACUGACGGUGAGGCGCGAAAGCGUGGGGAGCAAACAGGAUUAGAUACCCCAGUAGUC
Molecule: ribosomal RNA, 440 nt
Filed under: uncultured bacterium
Lineage: Bacteria
Description: partial 16S ribosomal RNA
Rfam family: Bacterial small subunit ribosomal RNA
Source: RNAcentral